This 659-nucleotide ribosomal RNA is filed under the name uncultured Pseudomonadota bacterium. RNAcentral describes it as "bacterial SSU rRNA". It matches the Rfam family "Bacterial small subunit ribosomal RNA", at positions 48 to 695 of the family's 1533-position model. Lineage: Bacteria; Pseudomonadati; Pseudomonadota. The record is from RNAcentral.
CUAACACAUGCAAGUCGAACGGGUAACAGGAAACAGCUUGCUGUUUCGCUGACGAGUGGCGGACGGGUGAGUAAUGUCUGGGAAACUGCCUGAUGGAGGGGGAUAACUACUGGAAACGGUAGCUAAUACCGCAUAACGUCGCAAGACCAAAGAGGGGGACCCUCGGGCCUCUUGCCAUCGGAUGUGCCCAGAUGGGAUUAGCUUGUUGGUGGGGUAACGGCUCACCAAGGCGACGAUCCCUAGCUGGUCUGAGAGGAUGACCAGCCACACUGGAACUGAGACACGGUCCAGACUCCUACGGGAGGCAGCAGUGGGGAAUAUUGCACAAUGGGCGCAAGCCUGAUGCAGCCAUGCCGCGUGUAUGAAGAAGGCCUUCGGGUUGUAAAGUACUUUCAGCGGGGAGGAAGGGAGUAAAGUUAAUACCUUUGCUCAUUGACGUUACCCGCAGAAGAAGCACCGGCUAACUCCGUGCCAGCAGCCGCGGUAAUACGGAGGGUGCAAGCGUUAAUCGGAAUUACUGGGCGUAAAGCGCACGCAGGCGGUUUGUUAAGUCAGAUGUGAAAUCCCCGGGCUCAACCUGGGAACUGCAUCUGAUACUGGCAAGCUUGAGUCUCGUAGAGGGGGGUAGAAUUCCAGGUGUAGCGGUGAAAUGCGUAGAG